AAGAAUUUGCUUCUUGUUGGCUUUACUAAAAAUAGUGAUUGUUUUCUUGUUUUGUAUAAUAACUAAAGCUUUUUUUUUUUCCCUAGACAAAUCAGCAUUUAAAGAAAGAGUACAUGGGAAUUGCUGGACCAGGGCCCAUGGAGAAUUCACAUCCUACCAGGGGCUGAGAAGCAACACAAAAGUGGGGUGGUUGGGUCUAGGUUGGUAUGUUUAGAAGAGAAGGUUCAUUGAUAAUGGUGAACCAUCCAUAGAGUACUUCUAGAAUGUAGGAUAGGGUGAUAUGGAAAUCUCUCUCUACAGGAGCCCAGCACUCUUCCCCAGUAAUGAUUUCUGUUCCAUAAAUGCAUUCCUUUCCUAACAGUUUGCAAUUCCUGUGGUUAAUGACGUCUUUAGGAGCUAUCACUGUGUCUCCAUUUUCUUCCAUUUCAAAAAGCCAGCCUUUGGGAAGAUUUCAGAAUGAGAUGAGGAGGCCACCCUAUCCUCUUAAGAUAAACCAAAAAGAUAAUUGCCACAGUCCUUGGCAAUAAGAGAUCUCUGCACUCCCUUCAGCAACCAUCAAUGCUAUCUGUGAGGGACCUCUCCUUUCAAACAGAAAGCUGCAGUGCUGAGACUUAGGCAGAGUGUAGAAUAAGGCCUAGAGACCUGAAAUCAGACUGGACCAGCUCUCUUUCUAGAAAAAGGGAAGUUCCAUUUCACAUUCACUCCUCUGGACUGCCCAGAGUCAGUUAGGGCACCUGUGGGAGCACAUCUUUUGAACUUUGUGAGGACCUCAGACAUAUGCAUCUGCUACCAUACUCCAGCUACCCUAGGGAUGCUGUAAUUUGAAACAAAGCCUCCCACUAUGGCCUUUCCCUCCACCAUCUACCCCACUCUCUUCCUCUUUCUCUGGGGUGAUCUACCCCAGGAUUUAAGAAUGUUGGUCAGAUAUUUCACAUGCCUCUAGUACCCAAGUAGCCUAUUAAAAGCAUAACAAUCCUACA
This 980-nucleotide long non-coding RNA is filed under the name Marmota monax (woodchuck). The record is from RNAcentral. Lineage: Eukaryota; Metazoa; Chordata; Mammalia; Rodentia; Sciuridae.